GGCUGGCUCCAAAGUCCCAGUCCUCUGCACCACCAUAAGCCAGAGCUGAGUGGUGAAUAGACACAGCAGUAGAAUUUUAUUCACUAACUGGGCAGGAUCAGAUUUGGGGCAGAAGUUUGUUCAUCUCUGCUCUAGACUCUUGUUUCCUCUGCCUCAGGUGAAUCUUUCAAGCCCAGCUUGACGUUAAUGGAGUCCAGCACCUUGGUGAGUGGAAAGAGCAGUCUUUAUGCACAAUAGGGUGAAUGGUUAACUAAUAAAUGUUAGUAUGUGCAGUCAAAUUGAAAUUGAACGUGGGCCUGCUGUUCCUUACCACAGAACGCUAUACUCUGUCACCCCACUUUUGCAAAAAAAAAAAAAAAAAAAGGCAAAGCUUUAUUGCUAUGCAAAUAUGCAAGAGAGGUGUUACUCAAAUUAACCUCUUUUUCCUCCUGCAUUUCCAGGGGGCAUUUGCAAGGAGAGAACUAAAGGGUAUGGUUAGAAGACCGGUAGGAGCUGGAUUUCCAAGCAAGCAGAGAAGAUUUACAGGCCUUCAUAUCCUCCUGGCACCUGGAUUUCAAGCCCUCUUUGUACCUCUUCCUUCCAGAGCAGUCUAUGAUUGGUCAUAUUUAAAACCAGCAUUAGAUUAUUUUGAAAGUAUUGGGAGCAACCUCAGACCUUGAGCACCCUGGGCUCACUCCUGCAGAGGCUCAGGAUCUCACUGGCAGAAGGCAGACUCUCCUGGGAAGUGAGUGCAUGCAACUUGCAUGGACGCUGGAUUUGGAUAAAUGAGCUGAAAGAUACAGAGCUUCGUACUGGGCUGGAUGAAUCCUCAUAGACU
Erinaceus europaeus (western European hedgehog) is the source of this 817-nucleotide long non-coding RNA. RefSeq lists it as uncharacterized. The transcript is spliced from 3 exons. NCBI's taxonomy places the organism in Eukaryota, Metazoa, Chordata, Mammalia, Eulipotyphla, Erinaceidae. The record is from RefSeq and is a predicted model, not a curated record.